CCUACGGGUGGCUGCAGUGAGGAAUAUUGGUCAAUGGGCGAGAGCCUGAACCAGCCAAGCCGCGUGAAGGAUGAAGGAUCUAUGGUUUGUAAACUUCUUUUAUAUGGGAGUAAAGUGAGGAACGUGUUACUUUUUGUAUGUACCAUAUGAAUAAGCAUCGGCUAACUCCGUGCCAGCAGCCGCGGUAAUACGGAGGUUGCGAGCGUUAUCCGGAGUUAUUGGGUUUAAAGGGUGCGUAGGUGGUUAAUUAAGUCAGCGGUGAAAGUUUGUGGCUCAACCAUAAAAUUGCCGUUGAAACUGGUUGACUAGAGGAUAUGUGAGGUAGGCGGAAUGCGGGGUGUAGCGGUGAAAUGCAUAGAUAUCACGCAGAACACCGAUUGCGAAGGCAGCUUACUAAACUAUAACUGACACUGAGGCACGAAAGCGUGGGGAGCAAACAGGAUUAGAUACCCGUGUAGUC
This 460-nucleotide ribosomal RNA is filed under the name uncultured bacterium. RNAcentral's name for it is "partial 16S ribosomal RNA". It matches the Rfam family "Bacterial small subunit ribosomal RNA", at positions 338 to 795 of the family's 1533-position model. The record is from RNAcentral.